Molecule: transfer RNA, 73 nt
Filed under: Felis catus (domestic cat)
Lineage: Eukaryota; Metazoa; Chordata; Mammalia; Carnivora; Felidae
Also listed under: 3 other names
Rfam family: tRNA
About the family: Transfer RNA (tRNA) molecules are approximately 80 nucleotides in length. Their secondary structure includes four short double-helical elements and three loops (D, anti-codon, and T loops).
Source: Rfam by way of RNAcentral
GCCUGGCUGGCUCAGUCAGUGGAGCGUGCAACUCUUGAUUUCAGGGUUGUGAGUUCAAGCCCCAUGCUGGGUG